This 450-nucleotide ribosomal RNA is filed under the name uncultured bacterium. Its description in RNAcentral is "bacterial SSU rRNA". It matches the Rfam family "Bacterial small subunit ribosomal RNA", at positions 8 to 507 of the family's 1533-position model. The record is from RNAcentral.
AGAGUUUGAUCAUGGCUCAGAACGAACGCUGGCGGCAGGCUUAACACAUGCAAGUCGAAGCCCCCGCAAGGGGAGUGGCAGACGGGUGAGUAACGCGUGGGAACGUGCCCUUCGCUACGGAAUAGCCCCGGGAAACUGGGAGUAAUACCGGAUACGCCGUAUUGGGAAAGAUUUAUCGGCGAAGGAUCGGCCCGCGUUAGAUUAGCUAGUUGGCGGUGUAAUGGACCACCAAGGCUACGAUCUAUAGCUGGUCUGAGAGGAUGAUCAGCCACACUGGGACUGAGACACGGCCCAGACUCCUACGGGAGGCAGCAGUGGGGAAUCUUGGACAAUGGGCGCAAGCCUGAUCCAGCCAUGCCGCGUGAGUGAAGAAGGCCUUAGGGUUGUAAAACUCUUUCGCCGGAGAAGAUAAUGACGGUAUCCGGAGAAGAAGCCCCGGCUAACUUCGUG